UACGGAGGGUGCAAGCGUUAUCCGGAUUCACUGGGUUUAAAGGGUGCGUAGGUGGGCCUGUAAGUCCGUGGUGAAAUCUCCGAGCUUAACUUGGAAACUGCCAUGGAUACUAUAGGUCUUGAAUACUGUGGAGGUCAGCGGAAUAUGUCAUGUAGCGGUGAAAUGCUUAGAUAUGACAUAGAACACCAAUUGCGAAGGCAGCUGGCUACACAAAUAUUGACACUGAGGCACGAAAGCGUGGGGAUCAAACAGG
RNAcentral lists this ribosomal RNA (253 nucleotides) under uncultured bacterium. RNAcentral's name for it is "partial 16S ribosomal RNA". It matches the Rfam family "Bacterial small subunit ribosomal RNA", at positions 524 to 776 of the family's 1533-position model. The record is from RNAcentral.